Molecule: ribosomal RNA, 466 nt
Filed under: uncultured bacterium
Lineage: Bacteria
Description: partial 16S ribosomal RNA
Rfam family: Bacterial small subunit ribosomal RNA
Source: RNAcentral
GACGAACGCUGGCGGCGCGCCUAACACAUGCAAGUCGAACGAGCGAGACGGAGCUUGCUUUCUUGAGCGAGUGGCGGACGGGUAAGUAACGCGUGAGGAACCUGCCUCAAAGAGGGGGACAACAGUUGGAAACGACUGCUAAUACCGCAUAAGCCCACGGUGCCGCAUGGCACAGAGGGAAAAGGAGCACUCCGCUUUGAGAUGGCCUCGCGUCCUAUUAGCUAGUUGGUGAGGUAACGGCCCACCAAGGCGGCGAUCGGUAGCGGGAGGGAGAGGUUGAACGGCCACAUUGGGAGUGAGACGCGCCCGAGACUCCUGGGAGAGGGAGCAGUGGGGAAUACUGCACAAGGGGAGAGACCGAGGUGCAGCGGCGGCGCGUGGAGGGAGAAGGUCUGGGGAUUGUAAUCCCCUGUUGUGGGAGGAGGUAAUGACGGUACCUGGCGAAGAAGCAACGGCUAACUACGUG